UACGGAGGGUGCAAGCGUUGUCCGGAAUCACUGGGUGUAAAGGGUGUGUAGGUGGGACUGUAAGUCAGAGGUGAAAGCCCGCGGCUCAACCGUGGAAUGGCCUUUGAUACUGCAGUUCUUGAGUCCUGGAGAGGUCGCUGGAAUUCGUGGUGUAGCGGUGAAAUGCGUAGAUAUCACGAGGAACACCAGAGGUGUAGACGGGUGACUGGACAGGUACUGACACUGAGGCACGAAAGCGUGGGGAGCAAACAGG
This 253-nucleotide unclassified non-coding RNA is filed under the name Salisaetaceae bacterium. RNAcentral describes it as "partial 16S ribosomal RNA". It matches the Rfam family "Bacterial small subunit ribosomal RNA", at positions 524 to 776 of the family's 1533-position model. The record is from RNAcentral. RNAcentral also lists the same sequence under 1 other name. Lineage: Bacteria; Pseudomonadati; Rhodothermota; Rhodothermia; Rhodothermales; Salisaetaceae.